CGGGCCGCGCCGUGACGGGGCGGCCCCGGCUGCGGUUUGUGAGGCCGGGCCUCGGCGGAGCGCUGGCCGGCUGAGCAGAACCAGCUCUCUCAGCACCUCCUCAUCUGCCCUGUGCUCCACCCCUGAGCAUCUUGGUGGCCUUCCCCAGACUCUGGUACAUGGAUGCCUGUCAUACUGGGGAGCUCAGACUGGACCCAGCACUAGCAGAUGGACCCUGCAGAGCAGAGGGCAAAGCUUCCCCAUCUCACCCCGCUGCCUGCGCGCUCGGUGACACAGCCCUGGAUGCAGCGGCCCUUCUUUGUCAUGGGGCCACUCGGUGGGCUCAGACUCACCUUGUUUACUGGGACCCCAGCACCUUGUCUGCCAAAUUGCUCCCAUGUCCUGCUGCACUGGGGUCACUCCCUCCCAGACACACCUUUGAUGACCAGUGUUUGUUUUUGUUGAGUUUCCUGUGUUUUUUGUCUGGUCUGCUAAUACCAUAGAAGUCAACAACAUAAAGCUGGUCCCGGAAGAGACCACAGUGACCCAUCUCUCUGUGGAAGCCAUUUUUAGGAAUGCUUUCCCACUUUGGGCUAGACACAGCUCUAAGCAAACAUCACACAGUGACUGUUGAAUACUCAGCAGAUGCCAUCGUUCUCCGUUAACUGCUAAGCUAUUUUAAAUCUUUAACAGUAGCUUAACACUCCUAGCUGACUUAAGGCUUUGUAAAGCUGGUGGUUAAUAAAUGCAGGAAUAUUUUGUUUUCA
Molecule: long non-coding RNA, 746 nt
Organism: Calidris pugnax (ruff)
Lineage: Eukaryota; Metazoa; Chordata; Aves; Charadriiformes; Scolopacidae
Exons: 2
Source: RefSeq, a predicted model, not a curated record